This 406-nucleotide ribosomal RNA is filed under the name uncultured bacterium. RNAcentral describes it as "partial 16S ribosomal RNA". It matches the Rfam family "Bacterial small subunit ribosomal RNA", at positions 30 to 526 of the family's 1533-position model. The record is from RNAcentral.
AUUGAACGCUGGCGGCAGGCCUAACACAUGCAAGUCGAACGAGUGGCGGACGGGUAAGUAAUGUCUGGGAAACUGCCUGAUGGAGGGUGAUAACUAAUGGAAACGGUAGCUAAUACCGCAUACCAUCAGAUGUUCCCAGAUGGGAUUAGCUAGUUGGUGGGCUAACGGCUAACCAAGGCGCCGAUCCCUAGCUGGUCUGCGAGGAUGACCAGACACACUGGAACUGAGCCUCGGGCCAGACUCCUACGGGAGGCAGCAGUGGGGAAUAUUGCACAAUGGGCGCAAGCCUGAUGCAGCCAUGCCGCGUGUAUGAAGAAGGCCUUCGCGUUGUAAAGUACUUUCAGCGGGGAGGCGUUACCCGCAGAAGAAGCACCGGCUAACUCCGUGCCAGCCGCCGCGGUAAUUC